Molecule: long non-coding RNA, 556 nt
Filed under: Anas platyrhynchos platyrhynchos (common mallard)
Lineage: Eukaryota; Metazoa; Chordata; Aves; Anseriformes; Anatidae
Description: lncRNA (ENSAPLG00000028786.1)
Source: RNAcentral
AUGUUAAAGUGGCAGUUGUCUGUAACAAAAGAAUUUUGCAGAUAUACAAAUAAAGCUCAAAGCAGAAAAGCAGUUCAGUGCCUCAGCGGAGGGGUUUCUGAGUGGAAAGAAAUGUGGGAAAUGAGCACUGGUCUUUCAAAUUGUGCACAAUUGUGUGCAUGUGUGUGCGCGCUUGGUUUCCAGGAGUUUAGCAACGAGUGCCUGAUGCCAAUCCUAUUUCAUCUACUCAAGUUAUCAAUAUUGUUGUCUGUCUUGGAACAGAUUUUCCACAAAAGAAAACUCAGUUGUGUCAAGGCCAAAAGGAAGAUUCAAAGAAGUCUGAAGAUAAGUAGUCAGGUCAUCUAAUUUAUCUCCUCUGCGCUGACUUUUGUUCAUCAGUUGAGUUGCUGCUUUAUAGAUGAGACAGUCCAGAGAACAUCAUACAGGAGUCACUGCCUACUGUAAGGUACUAUACUUCAAUUUUAAUGAAGUAUUAUGGGAGUCUUAGUUUUAAAAACUUCAUUCAUUACUGUUAGGAUAAUAAGAAUAAUAUAAUAAAAGUAAUUUAUCUGGAUCA